RNAcentral lists this long non-coding RNA (805 nucleotides) under Gossypium barbadense (sea-island cotton). RNAcentral describes it as "long non-coding RNA (GBAR_LNC017644)". Lineage: Eukaryota; Viridiplantae; Streptophyta; Magnoliopsida; Malvales; Malvaceae. The record is from RNAcentral.
UCAAUUGGCAUCGGCAUUAUUGCUAGUGCAAGAGGACGUGGGUUCAAGUGUGCUGAAGCGCAUUAUCUUCCUAUUUAUGGGUUGGGAUAGGCUAUGAGUAGUUCUAGACAUUAUAUCAAAAAGAGCAGAUAUGAUAAUUGUACAAGCCCAAAUAUGCCCGGGCCCAAGCCAACACUCAGGCCCAAACCAACAAAUAAGACCCAAACCCUAAACCUGGCAACUAGUAGCCCAACACAGCAAAACUAAAAAUCAAAAGAAGAAAACCCUAGCCGCAGCAAGCCCUCGCCUCCAGCAAGCGUCCAGUCGCCGUAGGACUCGGAGAUCGGCCUCCCCACGCGCGCCGUUUGCUCCACGAACUCCUGCAAUCGCGGACUCAAAGAAUCCGGAAGAGAAAAACAAGCAAAGAAACAAUAUCAUCGAUUUAUUUUCUUUUCUUUCUUUUUUUUUUGGCCUAUAAAAGGCCACUUUUAAUAUGUAAAAAGAGGGAGAAGAGAAAAAUCAACAGGGAACAGAACCAAUAUCAGUUUUUCUUAAGGUGAUUUUUUGGUUUUCAUUGUAGCGUUCAUCGUUUUUCCACAUAUAUAUACAUAUAUUUUCUUUUACUUUUUUUCCUUUUAUUUCAUUUAAACUAAUAAAAAACAAAAAGAGGAAAACUUACCUUUCGAUGAAGUCACCGAGCCGUCGUCAUCUCCGUCGUGUUCGGAGCAGUGGUGAAGGGGCUAACGAUCGGCGGCGCAAGGAAGCUAGGGUCGAAACCCUAGCAGAGCAAAAGAGAAGGGUUUUUUUUUCUUCCUUUUCAUUUGGG